ACUAGCUUUCAUGACAUCUUUUUUAUGCACAGGACUUAUGCAAAAUCCCACUGACAUGUAUGCUUACUUCCGGUGUCUUCAAAAAUUCCAGCAAAGCUUAGCUACAAAUCAAAUAAUCUAGAGGAGACUUAAACAUGACUAUAAGUGGUCUAGAGUUAAAGAAAUAACAAAAUCUAAGAAAGUAAUAGAAUUAUUCACAUAUGACUGAUUGAAGUAACAAAAUAGACUGAACAAACAUUUAACUUUGAGUAAUUGGAUUCCCGACUUGCUGGAACAAUCUCAAAAGAAUCCAUAACUAUUGUUGAAAUGCAUGCUCUACUGCAAGGACUUUAUGCCAAGUCUUAGCACCUAAGGUCAUUACAGAUUGAAGGAGACUUCUUAGAUACAGAUGCUUACAACACCAAAUGAGCUUUACUCACAUCUUAUUAAUGAUUGCAAGUGCUUGUACUUAACUGUAUAAUCCACCAGUGGCUGACAAGUUAGUGUGCAUAGGUACCCAAUCCCCAUAACCUACUCCACUGGAAGUUUUUUUAGCAUGAUCCAGAAUGUACACUUGAGGCACCCGGGCUGAUAAAUCGGAAAGUACUUACCUGCAUAGUUUAUUGAAACUGUCAAGAAAUAGUCAGUGGGGUGCCUACCAUUUUGAGCCUGUAAGUAUUGUUGGUGUUACAACUCCUACUAUUAUCGCAACCUUUUGAGCCUGUCCUUUGGAAUUUGGAGCACAUGCCCUUGGAUGUAAUAGUUUGUCGUUAAUAUAUAUCUUCUUUAAUUAAUACCCAAAAAAAAACUAUAGUAAUAUCAAAAUUACCUCAUUUAACACCCUGUGAAGCUUGUCCCUUGCCUCAACAACAUGGUUGUUGUCAUUCCUAUCAACCACAAAGAUGAGACGAUGUGUGUUUUGAAAUUAGUGUCUCCAUGGGAAUGGAGGUCUAAUAUGCAAGUGCACCACAAAAGAUAAAUAGAAGAAACAUACUUUUAGCUCUUCCAGAAUCAGACUGUAAUAUACUUAUAAUUAUGCCUUUAACGAAAGCAAUUGUACAUUAAACCACUACCAGGUAACAAAUCCUAACUUGAAAAUCACCAAUUAACCACAGCUGGUAGACAUCUUAGGUUUUGAUAUUUUAUACCAAA
This 1131-nucleotide long non-coding RNA is filed under the name Solanum tuberosum (potato). RNAcentral describes it as "long non-coding RNA (STUB_LNC011455)". Lineage: Eukaryota; Viridiplantae; Streptophyta; Magnoliopsida; Solanales; Solanaceae. The record is from RNAcentral.